AGUGAACGCUGGCGGUAGGCCUAACACAUGCAAGUCGAACGGCAGCACAGUAAGAGCUUGCUCUUACGGGUGGCGAGUGGCGGACGGGUGAGGAAUACAUCGGAAUCUACUUUUUCGUGGGGGAUAACGUAGGGAAACUUACGCUAAUACCGCAUACGACCUACGGGUGAAAGCAGGGGAUCUUCGGACCUUGCGCGAUUGAAUGAGCCGAUGUCGGAUUAGCUAGUUGGCGGGGUAAAGGCCCACCAAGGCGACGAUCCGUAGCUAGUCUGAGAGGAUGAGCAGCCACAAGGGAACGGAGACACGCAUCAGACUUCUGCGAGAGGCCGGAGUGGUAAAGAUUGGAGAAGGGGCGAAUGUUGGACCAAGGCAGGCCGCGUGAGGGAAGAAGGCCGUGGGCGUGAAAAGCGCUUUUGUGGGGAAAGAAGAUUAGCAGGUUAAUACCGCGCUGUUCUGACGGUACGCAAAGAAUAAGCACCGGCUAAACUCG
Molecule: ribosomal RNA, 490 nt
Filed under: uncultured bacterium
Lineage: Bacteria
Description: partial 16S ribosomal RNA
Rfam family: Bacterial small subunit ribosomal RNA
Source: RNAcentral